RNAcentral lists this ribosomal RNA (292 nucleotides) under uncultured bacterium. RNAcentral's name for it is "partial 16S ribosomal RNA". It matches the Rfam family "Bacterial small subunit ribosomal RNA", at positions 505 to 796 of the family's 1533-position model. The record is from RNAcentral.
GUGCCAGCCGCCGCGGUAAUACGUAGGUGGCAAGCGUUGUCCGGAUUUAUUGGGUUUAAAGGGUGCGUAGGCGGCUUUGUAAGUCAGUGGUGAAAUAUCGCAGCUUAACUGUGAGGGUGCCAUUGAUACUGCAGAGCUUGAGUACAGAUGAGGUAGGCGGAAUUGACGGUGUAGCGGUGAAAUGCUUAGAUAUCGUCAAGAACACCUAUAGCGAAGGCAGCUUACUAGGCUGUAACUGACGCUGAGGCACGAAAGUGUGGGGAUCAAACAGGAUUAGAUACCCCUGUAGUCC